Molecule: ribosomal RNA, 468 nt
Filed under: uncultured bacterium
Lineage: Bacteria
Description: partial 16S ribosomal RNA
Rfam family: Bacterial small subunit ribosomal RNA
Source: RNAcentral
GACGAACGCUGGCGGCGUGCUUAACACAUGCAAGUCGAACGGAAAGGCCCUGCUUUUGUGGGGUGCUCGAGUGGCGAACGGGUGAGUAACACGUGAGUAACCUGCCCUUGACUUUGGGAUAACUUCAGGAAACUGGGGCAAAUACCGGAUAGGAGCUCCUGCUGCAUGGUGGGGGUUGGAAAGUUUCGGCGGUUGGGGAUGGACUCGCGGCUUAUCAGCUUGUUGGUGGGGUAGUGGCUUACCAAGGCUUUGACGGGUAGCCGGCCUGAGAGGGUGACCGGCCACAUUGGGACUGAGAUACGGCCCAGACUCCUACGGGAGGCAGCAGUGGGGAAUAUUGCACAAUGGGCGGAAGCCUGAUGCAGCAACGCCGCGUGCGGGAUGAAGGCCUUCGGGUUGUAAACCGCUUUCGCCUGUGACGAAGCGUGAGUGACGGUAAUGGGUAAAGAAGCACCGGCUAACUACGUG